This 72-nucleotide transfer RNA is filed under the name Bos taurus (domestic cattle). It matches the Rfam family "tRNA". Rfam says of the family: Transfer RNA (tRNA) molecules are approximately 80 nucleotides in length. Their secondary structure includes four short double-helical elements and three loops (D, anti-codon, and T loops). The record is from Rfam by way of RNAcentral. RNAcentral also lists the same sequence under 3 other names. Lineage: Eukaryota; Metazoa; Chordata; Mammalia; Artiodactyla; Bovidae.
UCCCUGGUGGCUCAGACGGUAAAGAAUCCACCUGCAACGUGGGAGACCCAGGUUCCAUCCCUGGGUUGGGAA